UACGAAGGGGGCAAGCGUUGUUCGGAAUUACUGGGCGUAAAGGGUGUGUAGGCGGAGAUAUAAGAUAGGGGUGAAAUCCCGGGGCUCAACCUCGGAAUUGCCUUUAUUACUAUAUUUCUAGAGUAAUAGAGAGGAUAGUGGAAUACCCAGUGUAGAGGUGAAAUUCGUAGAUAUUGGGUAGAACACCGGUGGCGAAGGCGACUAUCUGGCUAUUAACUGACGCUGAGGCACGAAAGCAUGGGGAUCAAACAGG
RNAcentral lists this ribosomal RNA (253 nucleotides) under uncultured bacterium. RNAcentral's name for it is "partial 16S ribosomal RNA". It matches the Rfam family "Bacterial small subunit ribosomal RNA", at positions 524 to 776 of the family's 1533-position model. The record is from RNAcentral.